GGUUAAGUUAUUAAGGGCGCAUGGUGGAUGCCUUGGCACUAGGAGCCGAUGAAGGACGGGACUAACACCGAUAUGCUUCGGGGAGCUGUAAGUAAGCUUUGAUCCGGAGAUUUCCGAAUGGGGAAACCCAGCUUGUGUAUGCAAGUUAUCAUCUAGUGAAUAUAUAGCUAGAUUGAAGGUAGACGUUGUGAACUGAAACAUCUCAUUAGCAACAGGAAGAGAAAGAAAAAUCGAUUCCGAUAGUAGCGGCGAGCGAACUCGGAAGAGCCCAAACCAAUGUGCUUGCACAUUGGGGUUGUAGGACUGCCGUUGUGGAGUUACAAAAUUGUUUAUUAGCAGAAUCAGCUGGGAAGCUGAGCGAGACAGGGUGAUAGCCCCGUAUGCGAAAGUAAGCAAUCUCCCGUGCAGGAUCCUGAGUACGGCCGGACACGUGAAAUCCGGUCGGAAUCUGCGAGGACCAUCUCGCAAGGCUAAAUACUCCCUAGUGACCGAUAGUGAACCAGUACCGUGAGGGAAAGG
RNAcentral lists this ribosomal RNA (519 nucleotides) under Weissella minor. RNAcentral's name for it is "bacterial LSU rRNA". It matches the Rfam family "Bacterial large subunit ribosomal RNA", at positions 1 to 514 of the family's 2925-position model. The record is from RNAcentral. Lineage: Bacteria; Bacillati; Bacillota; Bacilli; Lactobacillales; Lactobacillaceae.